GAUGAACGCUCGCGGCAGGCCUAAUACAUGCAAGUCGGACGGGAUUCAGGAGCUUGCUUCUGAUGAGAGUGGCGCACGGGUGCGUAACACGUAUGUAACCUACCUUUAUCAGGGGGAUAGCCUCUCGAAAGAGAGAUUAAGCCCGCAUAAAAUCACAGCACAGCAUUGUGUAAUGAUCAAAUAUUUAUAGGAUAAAGAUGGGCAUGCGGAACAUUAGCUAGAUGGCGGGGUAACGGCCCACCAUGGCGACGAUGUUUAGGGGAUCUGAGAGGAUGGCCCCCCACACUGGUACUGAGACACGGACCAGACUCCUACGGGAGGCAGCAGUAAGGAAUAUUGGUCAAUGGGCGGAAGCCUGAACCAGCCAUGCCGCGUGCAGGAAGACGGCCCUACGGGUUGCAAACUGCUUUUAGACGGGAAUAAACCCAGAUACGUGUAUCUGGCUGAAUGUACUGUAAGAAUAAGGAUCGGCUAACUCCGUG
Molecule: ribosomal RNA, 482 nt
Filed under: uncultured bacterium
Lineage: Bacteria
Description: partial 16S ribosomal RNA
Rfam family: Bacterial small subunit ribosomal RNA
Source: RNAcentral